GCCGCAUUGGUCGAGCAGGGAAGACGCCGGAUUCUCGAUCCGGAGGCCGCGGGUUCGAGUCCCGCAUGCGGUA
Molecule: transfer RNA, 73 nt
Filed under: Actinomadura violacea
Lineage: Bacteria; Bacillati; Actinomycetota; Actinomycetes; Streptosporangiales; Thermomonosporaceae
Description: Actinomadura sp. LCR2-06 tRNA-Glu
Rfam family: tRNA
About the family: Transfer RNA (tRNA) molecules are approximately 80 nucleotides in length. Their secondary structure includes four short double-helical elements and three loops (D, anti-codon, and T loops). Further hydrogen bonds mediate the characteristic L-shaped molecular structure. tRNAs have two regions of fundamental functional importance: the anti-codon, which is responsible for specific mRNA codon recognition, and the 3' end, to which the tRNAs corresponding amino acid is attached (by aminoacyl-tRNA synthetases). tRNAs cope with the degeneracy of the genetic code in two manners: having more than one tRNA (with a specific anti-codon) for a particular amino acid; and 'wobble' base-pairing, i.e. permitting non-standard base-pairing at the 3rd anti-codon position.
Source: RNAcentral